Non-coding RNA from Styela clava, 502 nucleotides. The record is from RefSeq and is a predicted model, not a curated record. Lineage: Eukaryota; Metazoa; Chordata; Ascidiacea; Stolidobranchia; Styelidae.
AUUAUUUAUUCGUUUUUACAACAGCGAAUAACACUACUAAAAUAUUCCACAAAAUAAGUGAUAUAUUAGUGUAACUCAUAAUCCAUUUUCAUUAUUGAGGGCAUUUAUGAAAUGCUUUGCGCGAUGCAAUUCAUACGAAUGAUUGGCCCAUGUUGAAAAUAAAAAUCAAUUACCAAGUUAUGCAUGUUAAAAUAUUGAUUAUUUUUAAAAGGGUCUCAUAAUCGACGCGUUUGGCGUUCAAACAUUGGAAAAACAUUUGAAACGAAAUCUUUCCUUUUCCGAUUGUAAACUACCAAAACAUUAUUUGAAAGCGAUGUUUCAACUAUAUUAUGCCAUUGUCUUGGAAAUCUUCCUCGCUACCACAGAAACUGUUGCUGCCGACCUCUUUAUAUAAAAAGGAACGCGAAGAUGAAGACGCUUCUAUUUCUUUUCUUUCUGUUCCUGGCAACUUUCCGAUCUGCUACUGCUAGAUGCUCGAGUUAUAAGUGCAAGAGGGGAAAGU